Saimiri boliviensis boliviensis (Bolivian squirrel monkey) is the source of this 163-nucleotide small nuclear RNA. Its record names the gene U1. It matches the Rfam family "U1 spliceosomal RNA". From Rfam's summary of the family: U1 is a small nuclear RNA (snRNA) component of the spliceosome (involved in pre-mRNA splicing). Lineage: Eukaryota; Metazoa; Chordata; Mammalia; Primates; Cebidae. The record is from Ensembl.
AUACUUACCUGGCAGGGGAGAUGCCAUGAUCACAAAGCUGGUUUUCCCAGGGUGAGGCUUAUCCGUUGCACUCCCGAUGUGCUGACCUUUGCAAUUCCCCAAAUGUGGGAAACCCGACUGCAUAAUUUGUGGUAGUCGGUGACUGCGUUCACGCUCUCCCCUG